AAACCCUCAAGCUCAGCUUGGUGUUGGGGCCUGCCCACCGGCAGCCCUUAAAAUCAGUGGCGGUGCCAUCUGGCUCUAAGCGUAGUAAUUUCUCUCGCUAUAGGGUCCCGGUGGAGACUUGCCAAAACCCCCAAUUUUUCUAU
RNAcentral lists this unclassified non-coding RNA (143 nucleotides) under Helicodendron sp. Its description in RNAcentral is "partial internal transcribed spacer 2". RNAcentral also lists the same sequence under 1 other name. Lineage: Eukaryota; Fungi; Ascomycota; Leotiomycetes; Helotiales; Helotiaceae. The record is from RNAcentral.